GUCAAGGAGUCUUGCGGUAGUGUAUCGCAAAUCCAUAGGAACGCCCAGAGCUCUAGAUUUGGUAUCAUUGUGUGUUUGGAAGCUGUUAUCUUUACGUGAGGGAAACGUGUUUAUCCUUGAAAAAGAAAAUCAGCAAACUACCAAAAAAGGCAGGGCGGGACGGCUGAGAGGAGCGCUCUCUCACCACUCUCACCAGUGGCUAAUUAACAAUGUGGCCCCAGUUAAAGUCUGCUGUCUCCCGGGCUCCCGUGUCGGAUUAUUGUCUCCCAUCGACGCAACGCGCAUGCCAGCGUGUUUGCUCAGCCUGCGCUCUGUACCCUGCCCAGCCUUCCACCGAACCUGCC
Long non-coding RNA from Gasterosteus aculeatus aculeatus (three-spined stickleback), 344 nucleotides. NCBI's taxonomy places the organism in Eukaryota, Metazoa, Chordata, Actinopteri, Perciformes, Gasterosteidae. The record is from Ensembl.